This 253-nucleotide ribosomal RNA is filed under the name uncultured bacterium. RNAcentral's name for it is "partial 16S ribosomal RNA". It matches the Rfam family "Bacterial small subunit ribosomal RNA", at positions 524 to 776 of the family's 1533-position model. The record is from RNAcentral.
UACGAAGGGAGCUAGCGUUGUUCGGAAUCACUGGGCGUAAAGCGCACGUAGGCGGAUUUGUCAGUCAGGGGUGAAAUCCCGGGGCUCAACCUCGGAACUGCCUUUGAUACAGCAAGUCUUGAGUUCGAGAGAGGUGGGUGGAAUUCCUAGUGUAGAGGUGAAAUUCGUAGAUAUUAGGAAGAACACCGGUGGCGAAGGCGGCCCACUGGCUAGAUACUGACGCUGAGGUGCGAAAGCGUGGGGAGCAAACAGG